RNAcentral lists this ribosomal RNA (380 nucleotides) under uncultured eukaryote. RNAcentral describes it as "partial 18S ribosomal RNA". It matches the Rfam family "Eukaryotic small subunit ribosomal RNA", at positions 592 to 976 of the family's 1831-position model. The record is from RNAcentral.
CAAUAGCGUAUAUUAAAGUUGUUGCGGUUAAAAAGCUCGUAGUUGGAUUUCUGCUGAGAACGACCGGUCCGCCCUUUGGGUGUGUAUCUGGCUCUUUCUUGGCAUCUUCUUGGUGAACGUUGCUGCACUUGACUGUGUGGAGCGCUACCCAGGACUUUUACUUUGAGGAAAUUAGAGUGUUUCAAGCAGGCAUACGCCUUGAAUACAUUAGCAUGGAAUAAUAAGGUAGGACCUCGGUUCUAUUUUGUUGGUUUCUAGAGCUGAGGUAAUGAUUAAUAGGGAUAGUUGGGGGCAUUCGUAUUUAACUGUCAGAGGUGAAAUUCUUGGAUUUGUUAAAGACGGACUACCGCGAAAGCAUUUGCCAAGGAUGUUUUCAUUGA